AAACGAAAUUAUGAUUAUUUGGAUAUAAUAAGAAAAUAAAACAAAUAUUAAGUAAAAUAUUCUAUUUUCUUAUUAAACAAUAUUUUUAGAACUAUACGUAGAUAAUUUUUGUAGUGCAAAAGCAAAAUAAAUUCAUACAUACUGUAAUACAAUAACCCAGAGUAUUUAAUUUAAUUUACAAUAACCAGUGGGCCCCCGAAUAACCAAAAGUAAAGAGGACUGUGAACCUACAGUUUAGAGAAUGCAAAUCCCACAGUAGUCCUCGAUCAGAUCAGCU
This 277-nucleotide long non-coding RNA is filed under the name Theobroma cacao (cacao). RNAcentral's name for it is "long non-coding RNA (TCAC_LNC002435)". Lineage: Eukaryota; Viridiplantae; Streptophyta; Magnoliopsida; Malvales; Malvaceae. The record is from RNAcentral.